AGAGUUUGAUCCUGGCUCAGGACGAACGCUGGCGGCGUGCUUAACACAUGCAAGUGGAGCGACGAACCGGGCUUCGGCCCGGGGCAAAGCCGCGAACGGGUGAGUAUCACGUGGGUAACCUGCCCCGAUGACCGGGAUAACCCGAGGAAACUCGAGCUAAUACCGGAUGUGCUCCCAAUCCAUCAGGGUUGGAAGUAAAGGAAGCUUCGGCCUCCGCAUUGGGAUGGGCCCGCGGCCCAUUAGCUUGUUGGUGAGGUAACGGCUCACCAAGGCAACGAUGGGUAGCUGGUCUGAGAGGACGAUCAGCCACACUGGGACUGAGACACGGCCCAGACUCCUACGGGAGGCAGCAGUGGGGAAUCUUGCGCAAUGCGCGAAAGCGUGACGCAGCAACGCCGCGUGAGGGAAGAAGGCUUUCGGGUUGUAAACCUCUUUCAGGAGGGACGAAGGUUCAGGCGCGAAUAGCGUCCUGGACUGACGGUACCUCCAGAAGAAGCCCCGGCUAACUACGUGCCAGCAGCCGCGGUAAUACGUAGGGGGCUAGCGUUGUCCGGAAUCAUUGGGCGUAAAGCGCGCGUAGGCGGCCCGGUAAGUCCGCUGUGAAAGUCAAAGGCUCAACCUUUGAAUGUCAGCGGAUACUGCCGGGCUAGAGUCCGGAAGAGGCGAGUGGAACUCCUGGUGUAGCGGUGGAAUGCGCAGAUAUCAGGAAGAACACCAACGGCGAAGGCAGCUCGCUGGGACGGAACUGACGCUAAGGCGCGAAAGCGUGGGGAGCGAACAGGAUUAGAUACCCUAGUAGUCC
RNAcentral lists this ribosomal RNA (802 nucleotides) under uncultured bacterium. RNAcentral describes it as "bacterial SSU rRNA". It matches the Rfam family "Bacterial small subunit ribosomal RNA", at positions 8 to 796 of the family's 1533-position model. The record is from RNAcentral.